This 1395-nucleotide long non-coding RNA is filed under the name Daphnia pulex (common water flea). Its description in RNAcentral is "uncharacterized LOC124200316, transcript variant X3". Lineage: Eukaryota; Metazoa; Arthropoda; Branchiopoda; Diplostraca; Daphniidae. The record is from RNAcentral.
AUUAAGAAUCAGGAACCAGUCAAUGAGUCAUGGCGGUCAGGCGUCAGGGGCUCAGGGCCAUCAAACUCAAGACGAACAACGUAGAAUGGCAGAAAGAACAAUGUGAUGCAUGAUGUAUCGUCCUAUCGUUAAAGAAAAUGGGAAAACACAGUGGAAUUCUGGGUUGGACUCGUCGAUUGCAGUGCCUGUAACUCAACUUCAAACAAACGUUAAUAGCUGCCUCAGCCACUUAAUUGCAUAUAUGUCUAUUUUUUGGCAAGUUAACAUGACUUGGCACAACAUUCCAUGGCUAAGUGAUUAUAUACCUAGAUCAUUGUGUCGUAGAAACACGAUGAAAAUAUUUAGUCCUGUAAUUUCUUGUCCAACGAUGCUAUACCAUCCACGAUGUAUACUAACUAUCCAAAAUGCCACUAUAAUAGUGCAUUGCUUGAAAUCAGGACAAACAGUCAAACAGAGUAAUCUUUGUUUGGAGGUGAAAUUCCUGUUUACUAUGAUAAACAGAAAAAAGGUUCCGAGAGCUCCAUUACCUACCUGAUUUGAUUUUUAUAGCUGGGCUCUUGGCUCUUGGCUGACAGGUGAUUUUGCCUACAAUUUCAGUCUCACUCCCAGUGUGUCAUCUGACCAUGUGGCCUGAAAUUGCUGUCCAUAUGCCGAAAUGUCGUCCAGUACCAGAAACUUAAAUGCAAUGGUUUUGAUUGGAUUAAUUUAAGCUAUGAUGGUGUUUGCUGCUCAACGUGUACAUGGUGAAAGAUUCAACAUGUUAAACUGUUUGAUGCCGAAGUAAGUCAGAACUCUAACCCUAACAGCUGCUGCUGCUGCCUCAUACCCACAGGCAGAAAAGUUGCUCUAUUUCUUCAGACAAUUUAUAAUGUUCAACAGGCAGGUGAUAUUUCUGCAUUGUUGUUUAACACAACAUGGUUUUUGGGUGCGGCCAACCAGUGGAAGGCGUCAUCAAAUCAAGUUCAGCUGUUGCACGGAGUCUGUGGUGCCGGUGUUAUCCUGGAGUGUGUUGGUGUUUUGUGAAAUGUUUCGCAUAAGCUGUUUUGUGUGUCCCCAGGGCUUGCUAACUGACAAUGAGAGAUUUCAAUGUUUAACUUUACUUGUGUCAUUUUUGUUAUCGUGGCAUGAGAAUCACUGCUUGAUUUUUUUUUAAAGCAGGAUUAACAGCUAGUUGAAGUCUUAUCUUCACCUUCUUCUUUGUUCCAGUCUAAUUCACACAUGAAUUUUUUUCAGUCAGCAUUUUGAAUUUGACAUGAACAAUUUUAUUUAAUGGUUUCGCGUUUAUGUUCGCGUAGUUGCUGUCCGAUGUGGCACGUUGCUGCUAUGCUGGUGAAAGAUCUUUCUACAUCAAGUUCAAUUGGCCGUUCGGUGCUGGUGUCCUGUUACCGAAAUUGC